GACGAACGCUGGCGGCGUGCUUAACACAUGCCAGUCGAACGGUGAAGGGACCGGUUUUUGCUGGUUCUGGAUGAGUGGCGAACGGGUGAGUAACACGUGAGUAACCUGCCCCCUUCUUCUGGAUAACCGCAUGAAAGUGUGGCUAAUACGGGAUAUUCUGCGCCUGCUGCAUGGUGGGUGUGGGAAAGAUAUUGUUUCGGUGGGGGAUGGGCUCGCGGCCUAUCAGCUUGUUGGUGGGGUGAUGGCCUACCAAGGCGGUGACGGGUAGCCGGCCUGAGAGGGUGGACGGUCACACUGGGACUGAGACACGGCCCAGACUCCUACGGGAGGCAGCAGUGGGGAAUAGUGCACAAUGGGCGCAAGCCUGAUGCAGCGACGCCGCGUGAGGGAUGGAGGCCUUCGGGUUGUAAACCUCUUUCGCCAGUGAAGCAGGCCUGUCCCUUUUGUGGGUGGGUUGACGGUAGCUGGAUAAGAAGCGCCGGCUAACUACGUG
Molecule: ribosomal RNA, 493 nt
Filed under: uncultured bacterium
Lineage: Bacteria
Description: partial 16S ribosomal RNA
Rfam family: Bacterial small subunit ribosomal RNA
Source: RNAcentral